This 253-nucleotide ribosomal RNA is filed under the name uncultured bacterium. RNAcentral describes it as "partial 16S ribosomal RNA". It matches the Rfam family "Bacterial small subunit ribosomal RNA", at positions 524 to 776 of the family's 1533-position model. The record is from RNAcentral.
UACGUAGGGUGCGAGCGUUAAUCGGAAUUACUGGGCGUAAAGCGUGCGCAGGCGGUUUUUUAAGCCAGAUGUGAAAUCCCCGGGCUUAACCUGGGAACUGCAUUUGGAACUGGAAGACUAGAGGACGGGAGAGGGGGGUAGAAUUCCGCGUGUAGCAGUGAAAUGCGUAGAUAUGUGGAGGAAUACCGAUGGCGAAGGCAGCUCACUGGGUCGAUACUGACGCUCAUGCACGAAAGCGUGGGGAGCAAACAGG